GUCCCUGUCGCCGGCAUGCUGUAACCCAGCACCCAAGGUCUUAGCCGUACCACAGGGUAAUCACAACAGUGAAUGUCCCCAUUGCCCAGAACUCGUGACCCAGUUUCUUACACUUGGAUCUGCAAAAUAUAUCAUGAAAAACAUCGUAAUCUUUAUUUUUAUUUAGAAUUUUCAAUGGCCAUGUGACUAUAGCUGGAAUUGCUCCCCAGGGGAAAAAAUGCCCAACAAUUUUUGGAUAAAAUUUGUCCUUUAUAAUAGGUUUCAGUGAGAGGGGAGGGGAGGGGCACUUGACUUCGUUAACAUAACACUGGUUUGGCACCCCGUCCUUGAAAAUCCUUUCAUUUACUGGCAUUUCUCACACACAAGUGCAGCAUUCUGCAGAUGCUUCCUUUUUUUUUUUUUUUUAACCCUUUAACGGUGUGAGAUCACUUAUGAGAUUAGAAUGUUCAUAACUGAGCAUUCUAAUGCUGGCCUAACAAUCACGGCGAGUGACCGAAAGCAGUUGAGUUGUAGAACACUGACUUGUGUUGAAAAAACAUUGCAAAAGAAAAAAAAGGUGUAUACAAGGCCAGACAUCCUGAGCUUUCCCACGUACCAUUUAUAAAAGUGCACGUGAACUCACAUUCACUGAGUACAUCUGGGGUGGCUGGUCACCCCACCCUACCCUGCACACACACACACACACACACACAGUCAGGCUGCCAGUUGAAUAGAUGUACAAUUUUUGUGGUUCCCUCAGGUCAUGGAAAAACGUGGCUAAACGCACAGCUUGGCGGCAGUUCCACAGGGUGUUUCUGUUGGCUGUGUGAAGACUGGUCCAACAAAUGAUUUAAACCUUGCGCCCCACUCACUGUGCAUUGCUCAUCUGGAAGCUGCCGAGCGUCUGUUGACUGGGGUGGAUUGCAUAUUGAGUCUGGCCUGUGGUGUCGAGUGGGGGAAUUUGCAUUAACUCCAGCUGUAAGUGUUGCCCAUAUCAAGAGCCACUCGCCCCUUCCACACAAUUGCUUACUGGCUUAGUGUAAUGGGAGAUUAAUGCAGAGGUUGAGGACAGUUUGGAAAUUGAUGCCAGCUUGGAGUGUGUGCUUGGAUGGUGCAGUCAAAUGGCAAGUUAAUGCCCCAAAGCCCAAGUUUGUAAAAAAUAUCCCUGCAUCCAGCCUAACACUUAUUUGAUUUUUAUUUUUAAUUUUUU
Molecule: long non-coding RNA, 1189 nt
Organism: Anguilla rostrata (American eel)
Lineage: Eukaryota; Metazoa; Chordata; Actinopteri; Anguilliformes; Anguillidae
Exons: 2
Source: RefSeq, a predicted model, not a curated record